AGAUGACCAUGUCAUUCUUAAAUCAUUUAGCUUGGCUUCGCUGUUCCCAUCAACAGAUUGCUACUACAGAUACUAUGGUAGUCUGACAACUCCAAUGUGUCAUGAAAGCGUUAUCUGGACAUUGUUCAAACAGCACAUUUACAUUUCUGAAUCUCAGGUUUGUAGUGUUAUUUAAUUUGUUAUAAUGAAUAUCCUAUCAAUAUUGUCUUUCAUAGAUGAAUUUUAUUUAAAAGUAUUUUCUAUGACGUCACGUAUAAUGUUCAGCGUUACGGGUAUUAGAAAAAUCAACAGAAGUGAAGCAAGAUGUUUUAUUUUAUUUUUUUGACAGUCAAACAAUAAAAUCUGAGUCAAAACUAAGAACUUAAGCAUUGUCUUUAAUUAGUUGUAAAUUCAAUUCAAUGUCCUUUUAUACUAUCGAUUUUUCAUUGGUCUGUACGAAAGGGUGACAUUAAAAAGGUGUCUCCCGCUCAAACAUGGGAUAGAGUAAAUUGUCUCCCUUGUUUUAAAAACGUAUAAAAAUGGCAUUUUAACGUGAAGUAUAAUGAAAUCAGUUACGACAUAUUUUGGUUUUGUAUCUAUUAUCACUUAAAUGAAAGCAGGUAGCUCAAUGUUUUUCGUCAUUGUUUUGGUUUUGUAUCAAAUGUAACUUUGAUUUGAGAUUGCAGCUUAACCAAUUUCCAUAUAAGUUUGGUAUGUGAAAUAUCAUUUCAAUUCAAUCUUGCAACGUAAGGAAUUGCGACAUGUUUAUUGGUGUAGUAUCAAAUAUCACUUCAAAUCAAUCUUGCAGAUUAACCUGUUACGUCAUAGUUUUGCUUCUGUGUAGAAUAUCGCUGAGAUCAAUCUUUCAGCAUUACUUAUUUCGGCAUAGUUUUCUAUGUAUCAAAUUUUAAUCAAAUUAUUUUUGCAGCUUAACCAAUUCCGACAUCUAGGGAGAACUCAUUUCCCGGGAUCGGAAGAUCUUAUCAACAACUUCAGGAAUCCACAACCAAUUAACUGUCGGGUUGUUACCUCCAACUGCAUUGGGUCAUAUACUUCUACGUAUACAAAGGAGUCAAAGACGGGAGAAGGAAAGAGUUAUGCGGACGAUAGAAACAGUUACAUAAAGAAUUUUCUAAUGAAACAUUUUCCAUAUUUAAAAUGGAAAGUGUAACCAAAAGUGGUUUUCGAUGAAUGAAACGUCAAAGUUAUCAGGUGUAAUUUAAUAAAAGAGAUUAUAACCAUCAUACUCAUGAUUUUUUUAAACAAAUGAUUCUACAUCAUCGAGCAUUGACAUUUCAUCAAAUGUGUGUGGUUCUUAUCUCAACAUAUAUUGUUUUAACAUAAAUUACAUCUUUUGUUCAUAGAACAAAUAAUUGACAACGUUCACGAUAAUUUCUAUUCCAAUGAUAAUGACGCAAUAACAAAGGUUGAGUCUGGAAAAUUAUUGACAUGGUCAUAACAAAAAUUGCAAGGAUACAACGGAGACAUUAAAAGUAAAAGAAAAACGGACAACGCCAAGGCCAAAAAAAAAGACGACAAGACGACCAAGUCCAGGAAACUUUAUACAAAAGACUGAUGAGCAAGAACCUAAAUUAUAAAUUAAAACCUAAGGAUGAACUUCGAAACAGUUUAACAUUUCCUUUUCCCGAAAUGGCACCCACGUGUUGCGCAAGCGAUUUUAGAUUAG
This 1666-nucleotide long non-coding RNA is filed under the name Mytilus galloprovincialis (Mediterranean mussel). The record is from RNAcentral. Lineage: Eukaryota; Metazoa; Mollusca; Bivalvia; Mytilida; Mytilidae.